RNAcentral lists this ribosomal RNA (2714 nucleotides) under Munida subrugosa. Its description in RNAcentral is "partial 28S large subunit ribosomal RNA". It matches the Rfam family "Eukaryotic large subunit ribosomal RNA", at positions 71 to 1860 of the family's 3401-position model. Lineage: Eukaryota; Metazoa; Arthropoda; Malacostraca; Decapoda; Munididae. The record is from RNAcentral.
GGGAUUCCCUUAKUAAGUGCGACUGAAACGGGAUGAGCCCAGCGCAUAACCUCGUAUUUCGCCACUAACAUGGCACGAGGGGUGUUGCGUUUCGGAGUGUCUGGCACACCAUCUAGCUACCGCCUAAGUUGUAAUUUGAAUAUGGCCAAUGACCCUUGGAUGGUGAUAGGCCCGUAUGGCGGCGCCCGUGAGGGUACUGGUAUAGAUGGUGGAAAGGGCAUCUCUGUAGAGUCGGGUUGCUUGGUAUUGCAGCCCAAAGCAGGUGGUAAACUCCAUCUAAGGCUAAAUAUGACCACGAGACCGAUAGCGAACAAGUACCGUGAGGGAAAGUUGAAAAGAACUUUGAAGAGAGAGUUCAAUAGUACGUGAAACCGUUAAGAGCCUAAACGGGCGGAACCUUGUAGAUCGAACUGAGUGGAUUCAGCUCGCCGGCGGGGCCUGCACUGGAGGUUCAAGCAUGUCUCAAAUAAAGGACUGUGAAACGACCCUAAACUACAUAUUGCGGAAGACUUCUCUGCCUCGGCAUUGACCUCUUCUUCGCAUUAGGGCGUGCCUCUAGGGUAAGGUUGGCGUUGGUUGGCGUAUUUCCGACUCAUUAGUAGAUCACCGCGACCCGUUGCUGGGGACGUCUAAGGCCCGGUCGGAUUGGUAGCCCGUCAUGAAAACCUUGUUGGGAAUUUCCCUCUGGGCUUGGAUUGGCGCGGUGAAACCGCCGGUGACUAUUUAUCCUGACUGCCCUGCSACGGUCGUCUGUGGAACCUUUCUCACGAGAUUGGUUCUCGCGGUGUGUGCAAAUAAAGUCAGUGAACCACCCGACCCGUCUUGAAACACGGACCAAGGAGUCUAACAUGUGUGCGAGUCAAUGGGCGCACUAAACCCACAGGCGAAAUGAAAGUGACAAACAUCACUGGUGUUGUAAUGACAUCAUGGGCUGAUCCCUGGCUGUACAUCUGCUGGCUUGACUCGGCGGGAGUAGUAAGUGGGUGAGUCCUCUUUCCCUACCGAACCUCUCACGGGUGUUUGCUGCGGCUCUGGAAGGCCUGUACUUAUAAAACUCUAUUGUAGAGGGGGCGCAAGCCCGGGGCAUGCUACCUUUAAGGCACACCGUGGGUCCGCCAUAUGUUCUCUCAUAACGCUCCCUCGAAUUCCCUACGCCGUUCUGUACGUUCUUGUAACUUGUAAAAGUUAUGUUCGUGCGUGUGGUUAUGAAGGUUUACCGGGUUUAAGUUGGGCGUACAUUGAGUUCAUUAGGGCUUUCACACUCGUAGCCUGCAUGUACCUUGAGCAUACAUGUUAGUACCCGAAAGAUGGUGAACUAUGCCUGGCCAGGAUGAAGCCAGAGGAAACUCUGGUGGAGGUCCGGAGCGAUUCUGACGUGCAAAUCGAUCGUCAGAGCUGGGCAUAGGGGCGAAAGACUAAUCGAACCAUCUAKAAGMUGUGUCCCUCCCAAAAUUCCCUCACGAUAMUGUGACUCUAUAAAGAUGAAUUUCAUCUGGUAAAGAGAAUGAUUAGAGGCCUUGGGGACGAAACGUCCUCAACCUAUUCUCAAACUUUCAAUGGGUGAGAUGCCAAGCUUGCUUUGACUGUUGAGUGAAGCUUUGGCGAUUAAUCAGAGUAUCUAGUGGGCCACUUUUGGUAAGCAGAACUGGCGCUGUGGGAUGAACCAAACGUCGAGUUAAGGGGCSUAAAUGAAUGCUAAUACAGAACCCAGAAAAGGUGUGGGUUGCUAUAGACAGCAGGACGGUGGCCAUGGAAGUUGGAAUCCGCUAAGGAGUGUGUAACAACUCACCUGCCGAAGCAACUAGCCCUUAAAAUGGUAUGGCGCUCAAGCAUUCUCCCGAUACUCGACCGCCGGGGCACUACGGGCGCUUGUUAUCAAGUGCCUCGAAGCCCCGGUGAGUAGGAGGGCGCGAUGGUGAGCCUUGAAGGGUUCGACGUGAGUCGGCCUGGAGCCACCAUUGGUGCAGAUCUUGGUGGUAGUAGCAAAUAAUCGAGAGAGACACCCUUGUAGACUGAUGCGGAGAAGGGUUUCAUGUGAACAUCACUUGAACAUGAAGUAGUCGGUCCUAAGUCCGAGGUUAAAUCCUGAUUCCCAUGCGAGUAGGCAUGAAGUAUCGAGAGUGUACCAUACAACUUACAAAUUUAUUUGUUUGUUUCGUCAGUACAGCAUAGAGGUAUGCACCUGGGCAYCCAGCAUACUGUUCCUCUCGAGUAACAUCUUAAAACUGGUAUAUUGCUUCGUUCGCACCCUUUUACUCUAUGUUCUUCGGAUACAGAUAGUUGUUUACGGGGGAGAAGCUUAUGCCCAAGUGCCUGUAUGUGAAAUUAGUGGCGAAAGGGAAUAUGGUAUUGAUUCCAUAACCUGAUCCGGAUGAUCCUGCGAAUUGGGGCUUGUCUUCGCUUUAAUUAGUGUCGACUCGUUCCCGGUUCGUAGGAAUGCAGGGACCUGGUAACGGGAAGAAGCCUGCGCCCAUCGGUAGAGGUCCGGGAAAGAGUUUUCUUUUCUGUUUAAGGCGCUGUGACCCUGGAAGCUACUCGCUGUGAGAAAGGGUGUAUGUAUACACAGUUGCCGUAGAGUGCUACGGUUCUUGUAGCAUCCCGCGUACUUCUACCGGUCCGUGAAACCGCAGAUGCCGAACCUGCGCAGGAGAAGAGGGAGAUCCCAGAACCCUCGAUGUACCUGUUUUCGGAUGAGUCCGUACUCAUUUCCGCAU